This 402-nucleotide ribosomal RNA is filed under the name uncultured bacterium. RNAcentral describes it as "bacterial SSU rRNA". It matches the Rfam family "Bacterial small subunit ribosomal RNA", at positions 355 to 774 of the family's 1533-position model. The record is from RNAcentral.
UCGGGAAUUUUGGGCAAUGGGCGAAAGCCUGACCCAGCAACGCCGCGUGAGGGAUGAAGUAUUUCGGUAUGUAAACCUCGAAAGAAUGGGAAGAAUCAAUGACGGUACCAUUUAUAAGCUCCGGCUAACUACGUGCCAGCAGCCGCGGUAAUACGUAGGGAGCAAGCGUUGUUCGGAUUUACUGGGCGUAAAGGGCGCGUAGGCGGCGCGGUAAGCCACUUGUGAAAUCUCUGAGCUUAACUCAGAACGGCCAAGUGAUACUGCUGUGCUAGAGUGCGGAAGAGNCAACCGGAAUUCUUGGUGUAGCGGUGAAAUGCGUAGAUAUCAAGAGGAACACCUGAGGCGAAGGCGGGUUGCUGGGCCGACACUGACGCUGAUGCGCGAAAGCCAGGGGAGCAAACG